RNA transcript from Populus euphratica (Euphrates poplar), 2966 nucleotides. It is a transcript of the gene named S-adenosyl-L-methionine-dependent methyltransferases superfamily protein, with no coding region annotated. The record is from RefSeq and is a predicted model, not a curated record. Lineage: Eukaryota; Viridiplantae; Streptophyta; Magnoliopsida; Malpighiales; Salicaceae. The transcript is spliced from 13 exons.
CACGUCGUCUAAGAACUCAGCAUUAAAAUGUUCGUAAAAAAAAAACCAAAAAUAAAAAUGGAGGACUGCAACCAAAAGUACAGUUGCAGAACAGCAAAAGAAACCCUAGAAUGGAUAAACGCAAUCCUCAAUUUCAUUAAACCCUACGCUUUCUUAACCAACGCACAUGUUACCAAUUUCUUCACCCACAAGUUAUGGCAAUCCAUUGAUCCUGUCUGGCUCCAUUGCUUGCGUAACGAACCUGUCCAAAAUCUCCUCCUAAUUCCUUGUGGUAUAAUCCAGGAGCAUUGGCCUGCUUCGCUGAAGGAAUUCGUUUUAGAUUUGAAGUCUCUCGCGUUUCCUCGCGAGCAAGCGCAUAUAAACAAGCUAUUCCCGGGAGUGAAUGUGGUUUCGCUUAAUACUGUACUUGCACAAGGCAUGAAUUUCAAGAAAAAACAUGAAGUGGAAGUUCUUUCUGCGGUUGUUAGUUCUGUUGCGAAUAGUGUGGGAGCUCAAACAAUAGUUGAUGUUGGUGCUGGCCAGGGUUAUCUUGCCCAAGUUCUUACCUUCCAGUACCAGCAUUCUGUAGUUGCUAUCGAUGCCUGUUCUCAUCAUGGAACUGUCACGGAGAAACGUGCAGAACGGAUCAAGAAGCAUUAUGCAGCUCAAAUGCGGAAAAAUUAUCCAGGAAUUGGGAUUCCAAAUGUGCCGAAGACAAUUACAUGCCGUGUCAUGUCCACUGACAUGUUGAAAGCAUUGACUAGCAUGUCACCACAUAUUGAUAAUGUUGAGCGGCCAGGAUUGAUUGGGCAAGUUGCAGAUGAUAAGACUUCAUUGGUAAUUGCUGGGUUACAUGCAUGUGGCGAUCUUUCAGUAACUAUGCUGAAGACCUUUUUAGAGUGCAAAGAUGUUAAAGCAGUUGUUAGCAUUGGAUGCUGUUAUAACAUGCUUUCUGAAGGAUGUCUUGACAUAGCUGGUUCACAAUGUGGUUUUCCUGUGAGUUGUGGUGUUAAAUCUGCUGGAAUAUCACUUGGGAAAAGUUCACGUGAUCUUGCUUGUCAGAGUGCAGAGAGAUGGAGGAGUCUCAAACAAGAUGCAGGUCUUCAUAAUUUUGAGUUGCAUGCCUUCCGUGCUGCUUUUCAGAUGGUUCUUUGUAAAUUUUAUCCUGAAAUCAUAACAUCAAGUCCCUCAAUUGGCCGUCAAGGGAAGGCGUUGCGACGCCAACAGCAAAGGAGGAUCCUGCAGUCUUCAAUUAAUUGCAAAGAAAGUAAACAUUCAUCAGUGCCUGAGACAAUUUCUCAUAUGCAUGAACUCUACCUAAAUCCACACAUGUCAGAAUCUAAAACAGAUGACUUUUCAGGCUCAGCAUUGCAUUCUCAUGAAUUAUCCUGCAAUGGAGGUACCAGAUACAAUGAAACUGCAGCUGCAAGCAAAUAUUUGCUAUUCAAGAAAUUUGCUCAGUCUGGAUUAUCUCGCCUUGGUCUCAAAUCUUUGCAGGAGACACAUUUCCAUGAAAUAUGGAAGGAAGCUGAGCCAUUUGCUGAGCUUAUAGGACCAUACUGGUCUCUGCGAGCUGCUUUAGGACCCCUUUUGGAAACUCUUCUUCUGCUUGAUAGAUUAUUGUUCCUCCAAGAGCAAGGCAGUUCUCUGGAAGCAAUCAUGCUACCUAUCUUUGAUCCUGCAUUAUCCCCAAGGAAUGUGGCCAUAAUUGCCAAAAGAAUUUGAUACAAAUUUCAGCUCAAGCAGAGAAAUGUCCAUUCAUUGUGAAAGAAGGCAUCAUGCUUCGUAGAGUUUAAAACAGUGGUCAGAAACCUUCUCUUUGAAUGUCUGUCUGUUGUCUGCUCCAAAGAUGGUUGCAUCCUAUUUUUGUUGGUCCUAUUUAUUUCUUGUGCGUCCAAGAAUCCCAAUCAUGGGACUAUAUCCAGCUUCUUACAAAUCGAAUAGUACAACAUCAUGAUUAUAUCAUGUUGAAUGGGUGGUGGGGCGCGCGCGCGCCUGUGAUGAUUUGUCGACUAGCUGAAACGCUGAAUGUCACAUCAGAUAUCCUUGCUUAAAGAAGCAUCAAGUGGAGCCUCCCACUCGUGCUGGGACACGUGUGUUCACAUGCUGUGGGUUGAAUGGUUUUUGUCAUUUUAGACACCUGGUUUGUUCUUGUUCAUUUCCAUUAUUGGGUGGUUAGCAGUGACUGCAGUCGACAUGUUGAAUUUCAAAGGUACUAUUUCUGUCACUGAAACAAUCAAACGGUGGGAUACAGCAACUAGCAGUCCUCCUUUUGUUCCUUCUCACUGUUGUCGUCAGCAUCAAAAACUAGUGAAAGGUGCCGUUACUGGUUAAGUGGCUUGAAUCUUGACCUUUGCCGCGGAUAAGCUUCAUUCGAAUUUCGUACUUUAGUGGAUUGCUAGCUAGGAUCGUGCAACCACGUACUGUUUGAAGCUAUAAUAUCUGGUCAAACCCUUGCUACAUUACAAAGAGGGGGUAACUUUUAUGUCAUUUUCCCCACUUUCUGAACCACUCUUCCACUUACCUGCUCUGUAUUUCUACCUUGUCGUGGCAGCGACACUAGGGAGGGGGGGUUGUGGUCCUGGGGCUACUAGAGAUUCAAACAUGAUUCCCCAACGACAAAUCACUGCGAAGAAAGGAAAGCUGGGUUGCUUUGUGGGAGGUGCCAUCAAAAUAAAUAUCAAGGUGAUAGAUAAUAAACCAUGAAGAUGAAUUUUUUCGUUUCCAAAGCCAUUAGAAUCGUCCAAUAUUGCUUUGCCAGUCACUGUAUAAUGUCAGGCCUCUCUGAUUGUUGGGAGAUGCCUGAGAGUUGGAGAGAACACGCAAUCACACGCACAAAGAGGAAAAGCUUUGCCAGGGUUUGAGAAUGUGUUUGCAUACCGGUGAUGAACUGACUUAUUUUCCAUCAUCAUCUACAAAACAAAAAUUUUAAGUUCAUGGAUGAAUUACUUCACAUCAUAGACCAAGUUAAUACGCCCGCUUCACUA